Molecule: unclassified non-coding RNA, 346 nt
Filed under: soil metagenome
Description: partial contains 5.8S ribosomal RNA, internal transcribed spacer 2, and large subunit ribosomal RNA
Rfam family: 5.8S ribosomal RNA (bases 1-120)
Source: RNAcentral
GAUGAAGAACGCAGCGAAAUGCGAUACGUAAUGUGAAUUGCAGAAUUCAGUGAAUCAUCGAGUCUUUGAACGCACAUUGCGCCCCCUGGUAUUCCGGGGGGCAUGCCUGUCCGAGCGUCAUUGCUGCCCUCAAGCCCGGCUUGUGUGUUGGGUCUCGUCCCCCUUCCCGGGGGGACGGGCCCGAAAGGCAGCGGCGGCACCGUGUCCGGUCCUCGAGCGUAUGGGGCUUUGUCACCCGCUCUGUAGGCCCGGCCGGCGCUUGCCGAUCAACCAAAACUUUUUUCCAGGUUGACCUCGGAUCAGGUAGGGAUACCCGCUGAACUUAAGCAUAUCAAUAAGCGGAGAA